Molecule: ribosomal RNA, 462 nt
Filed under: uncultured bacterium
Lineage: Bacteria
Description: bacterial SSU rRNA
Rfam family: Bacterial small subunit ribosomal RNA
Source: RNAcentral
AGAGUUGAUCCUGGCUCAGAACGAACGCUGGCGGCAGGCUUAACACAUGCAAGUCGAACGCACCGCAAGGUGAGUGGCAGACGGGUGAGUAACGCGUGGGAACCUUCCCUUUGGUACGGAAUAACUUCGGGAAACCGAAGCUAAUACCGUAUAAGUCCUUCGGGAGAAAGAUUUAUCGCCAAAGGAUGGGCCCGCGUUGGAUUAGCUAGUUGGUAGGGUAAAAGCCUACCAAGGCGACGAUCCAUAGCUGGUCUGAGAGGAUGAUCAGCCACACUGGGACUGAGACACGGCCCAGACUCCUACGGGAGGCAGCAGUGGGGAAUAUUGGACAAUGGGGGCAACCCUGAUCCCAGCCAUGCCGCGUGAGUGAAGAAGGCCUUAGGGUUGUAAAGCUCUUUUGGCGGGGACGAUAAUGACGGUACCCGCAGAAUAAGCCCCGGCUAACUUCGUGCCAGCAGCAGC